CUGCAUCCUUAACCAUGCUGCCUUUCUUCCUCUGUGGGGGAAGAUUUCAUUGCAUGACAUAUUUAAAUGCUUCUGCCUUUCUGCCUGCUUUACUGUGGUUCCUGUGGGACUUCUCACUGUAUUUGCAUGGUUCCUUGAGCCGUUAUGAGAGAGAUUUGAUGGAGAUGUCCUUUUUAGGACUAAGUGUUUCAACACCCAACACCUUUUACUCGCUGCAUAGUGUCUGAUGAUCUACUAAAGGAUUGAAGACAUGAAUGAUGCUAAAAUACUUUGUGGAACAUAAUCUACAGUGCUUGGAGGCUUGAUUGGGAAGUGCAGCGUACAUUACCUCAUUUAAACAACAGUUUACCAUUUAUUAUGUAACAUUCUAUAACAGUCUAAAUUCAAUUAAUUUUAACAAAAAUACAAGUAAAAUAUUAAGUUUUUUGACUUUCAAAUGUAGUCUUGCUUGGUUAGUAUUGUAUAAGAGUCUGCUAAAUGCAGCAUCGCUACCCAUGAAUUUUAAUUUUGCCUUUUAUUUACAUCUAUGAUGUUUUACCUUUCUACUUAAUAGCUGCUUAAUCUGAGGAGCAGAUAGGAAGCCAAAGUAGAAAUUUGAAAAGUUAUAAAUUAUGUAAAACUGCAUAGUAAAACAAAAAAAUAAAUCAAAGAAAAUAU
Long non-coding RNA from Microtus ochrogaster (prairie vole), 657 nucleotides. RefSeq lists it as uncharacterized. The record is from RefSeq and is a predicted model, not a curated record. NCBI's taxonomy places the organism in Eukaryota, Metazoa, Chordata, Mammalia, Rodentia, Cricetidae.